The sequence is a ribosomal RNA, 437 nucleotides long. It matches the Rfam family "Bacterial small subunit ribosomal RNA", at positions 341 to 792 of the family's 1533-position model.
ACGGAAGGCAGCAGUCGGGAAUAUUGCGCAAUGGAGGAAACUCUGACGCAGUGACGCCGCGUAUAGGAAGAAGGUUUUCGGAUUGUAAACUAUUGUCGUUAGGGAAGAAAGAAAUGACAGUACCUAAGGAGGAAGCACCGGCUAACUAUGUGCCAGCAGCCGCGGUAAUACAUAGGGUGCGAGCGUUAUCCGGAUUUAUUGGGUGUAAAGGGUGCGUAGACGGGAGUUUAAGUUAGUUGUGAAAUCCCUCGGCUUAACUGAGGAACUGCAACUAAAACUAAAUUUCUUGAGUAUCGGAGGGGAAAGUGGAAUUCCUAGUGUAGCGGUGAAAUGCGUAGAUAUUAGGAGGAACACCGGUGGCGAAGGCGACUUUCUGGACGAUAACUGACGUUGAUGCACGAAAGUGUGGGGAGCAAACAGGAUUAGAUACCCUGGUA